This 232-nucleotide ribosomal RNA is filed under the name uncultured bacterium. Its description in RNAcentral is "partial 16S ribosomal RNA". It matches the Rfam family "Bacterial small subunit ribosomal RNA", at positions 30 to 263 of the family's 1533-position model. The record is from RNAcentral.
UUGAGCGCUGGCGGCAUGCCUUACACAUGCAAGUCGAACGGCAGCGCGGGCUUCGGCCUGGCGGCGAGUGGCGAACGGGUGAGUAAUACAUCGGAACGUGCCCUGUUGUGGGGGAUAACUAGUCGAAAGAUUAGCUAAUACCGCAUACGACCUGAGGGUGAAAGCGGGGGACCGUAAGGCCUCGCGCAAUAGGAGCGGCCGAUGUCUGAUUAGCUAGUUGGUGGGGUAAAGG